CUACGGGCCGCAGCAGUGAGGAAUAUUGCACAAUGGGGGGAACCCUGAUGCAGCAACGCCGCGUGGAGGAUGACGCAUUUCGGUGUGUAAACUCCUUUUAUAUGUCAAGAAAAUGACGGUAGCAUAUGAAUAAGCACCGGCUAACUCCGUGCCAGCAGCCGCGGUAAUACGGAGGGUGCAAGCGUUACUCGGAAUCACUGGGCGUAAAGGACGCGUAGGCGGGGUGGAAAGUCAGGUGUGAAAUCCUACAGCUUAACUGUAGAACUGCACUUGAAACUUCUAAUCUAGAGUAUGGGAGGGGGAGAUGGAAUUAGUGGUGUAGGGGUAAAAUCCGUAGAUAUCACUAGGAAUACCUAAAGCGAAGGCGAUCUCCAGGAACAUUACUGACGCUAAGGCGUGAAAGCGUGGGGAGCAAACAGGAUUAGAUACCCCAGUAGUC
Molecule: ribosomal RNA, 439 nt
Filed under: uncultured bacterium
Lineage: Bacteria
Description: partial 16S ribosomal RNA
Rfam family: Bacterial small subunit ribosomal RNA
Source: RNAcentral